Molecule: long non-coding RNA, 2011 nt
Filed under: Homo sapiens (human)
Lineage: Eukaryota; Metazoa; Chordata; Mammalia; Primates; Hominidae
Description: non-protein coding lnc-EAF2-2:1
Source: RNAcentral
AUCUUCCUGCCUCAGCCUCCUGAGUAGCUGGGACUACAGGCGCACGCCACCAAAUCCAGCUAAUUUUUGUAUUUUUAGUAGAGACAGGGUCUCACCAUGUUGACCAGGCUGGCCUUGAACUCCUGGGCUCAAGCAAUCCACCUGCCUCGGCCUCCCAAAGUGCUGGGAUUAUAGGAGUGAGGCACUGUGCCUGGCCUUAACUCUCAAUCUUUCUUGUGAGCAUUUGGUAGAGGCCCAACUUCUUAUGUCUGUGGCUCUUAGAUAUUCUAAAUAGACGUGCUAGCCCACACCUGGCCUUUAAGAAUUUGCUAAAAUUUUGUUUGAUUUCUUCUUACCUAGCCACUUCUCUCUUGUGCUCUACUAUAGAUGAAAUACUUCAUUUCACAGAUACAGACUCCUAUCCCAGUUUACAUGGUUGGCUUGAGUCCUCAGCUAUCUAAUGGGCUCAAGAAAAAUUAUUGUUCUAGAUUAUCUGGCAUUUUCUUUGCUAAAUUGGGAGCAACACUCUUACAUAAUUUUUCUACAUUUCUUUUCCAAUUAUAAGUACAAAUAUAGGAAUUUUGAUUAGAAUUUUACUAAAGUUAACAUUAGAGAUUGCGCAAUAUUAUACAAUUUGGUCUUUACAUCCAGAAAUACUGGUAUUUUCACUCAUUUUACAAAGAGCAUCUUCCAGAUUCUUUAUGAUAUGGAGUCAUGAUUUGUUAAUUGAUUUUAACUUAAAUUCCAUAUUGUUACAAACACAAAUUGAAGUGGCUUCAAUGUUAUGGUAUUAAAACAUAUUUAAAGUAAACAGGGAAACUGAAAAGUAUUAGGUUGGAACCAAAUAAUCAUAAAGGUACCUAGGAUUGUAACAAAAAUUAAACAUUAUAUUUAGCUUUGAGAUUCCUAGGAGAAAAGACAAAAAGGGAAACAGUACAUUAUGUAGUUCUCACAGUUUAAUAGAAAGAAUGCAUUUUUUUGGUAUGCAGUUCCUUUUAGAAAUAAAUGUGUCAACAUAUUCAGCCCAUUUCUGUUUUUUUUUGAGACAGAGUUUUGCUCUUGUUGCCCAGGCUGGAAUGCCAUGGCACGAUCUCGGCUCACUGCAACCUCCGCCUCCUGGGUUCAAGCAAUUCUCCUACCUCAGCCUCCUGAGUAGCUGGGAUUACAGGCGUGCGCCACCAUGCCCAGCUAAUUUUGUAUUUUUAGUAGAGACGGGCGUUUCACCAUGUUGGUCAGGCUGGUCUCGAACUCCUGACCUCAGAUGAUCCACCUACCUCGGCCUCCCAAAAUGUUGGGAUUACAGGCGUGAGCCACCGUGCCCGGCCAUUUCUGUGUUUAAAGGAAUUUAAAAAGAUGUAGAUUUUUGUAAGAUGGCUUAUUUAUUUAUAUUAUUAUUUUUUGAGACAAAGUCUCACUCUGUCACCUAGGCUGGAGUGCAGUAGCGCGAUCUCUGCUUACUACAACCUCCGCCUCCCGGGUUCAAGCAAUUCUCCUGCCUCAGCCUCCUGAGUAGCUGGGAUUACAGGCACCCGCCACCAUGCCCAGCUAAUUUUUGUAUUUUCAGUAGAGAUGGGGUUUCACCAUGUUGGUCAUGCUGGUCUCGAACUCCUGACCUCGUGAUCCGCCCACUUCGGCCUCCCAAAGUGCUGGGAUUAGAGGCAUGAGCCACCUCACCCAGCCAAGAUGGUUUAUUUAAAGAAUAGAAACUUUAAUAGAACCUCAUCCUAUAGAUGAGAGGCUCAGUUUCAGCCAUUUAUCCAAUUUAAGAAUAUAAAAUUACCAAGUAGUGGCCAUUAAAUAGAAAACACUGGUCCUUUCUGUUUACAUAUACUAAAGAAAUCCAAGAUGCUGACUGAAACACAGGGGCUUCAUGGAUGGGAUCUCUCAUUAAAUGGAUCAGUGGUUAUGAUGAAUUCAUUUUUGUAAAGUGCUUCAUUAAAAAUUAUAGGCUAGGCACGGUGGCUCACGCCUAUAAUCCCAGCACUUUGGGAGGCCGAGGUAGGCAGGUCACAAGGUCAAGAGAUCGAGACCA